AAAGGGGGGGCUCCUUCGGGACCUCCUGCUUGGGGAUGAGCUUAUGUCCUAUUAGCUAGUUGGUGAGGUAAUGGCUCACCAAGGCGAUGAUGGGUAGCCGAGCUGAGAGGCUGAUCGGCCACACUGGAACUGAAACACGGUCCAGACUCCUACGGGAGGCAGCAGUGGGGAAUUUUGCGCAAUGGGCGAAAGCCUGACGCAGCGACGCCGCGUGAGGGAUGAAGGUUCUCGGAUCGUAAACCUCUGUCAGGAAGGAUUAAAUGCAUGGAUGCAAAUACCAUCCAUGCUUGACUUAACUUCCAAAGGAAGCCCCGGCUAACUACGUGCCAGCAGCCGCGGUAAUACGUAGGCAGCAAGCGUUGUUCGGAAUUACUGGGCGUAAAGAGUGUGUAGGUGGUGUCGUAAGUUUGGUGUGAAAUCUCCCGGCUUAACUGGGAGGGUGCGCCGAAACUGCGAUGCUGAGUAUGGGAGAGGAAAGCGGAAUUCCUGGUGUAGCGGUGAAAUGCGUAGAUUCAGGAACACCUGCGGUGUAGACGGCUUUCUGGACAUUACUGACACUGAACACGAAAGCGUGGGUAGCAAACAGAUUAGAUACCCUGGUAGUC
RNAcentral lists this ribosomal RNA (605 nucleotides) under uncultured bacterium. Its description in RNAcentral is "bacterial SSU rRNA". It matches the Rfam family "Bacterial small subunit ribosomal RNA", at positions 202 to 795 of the family's 1533-position model. The record is from RNAcentral.